Molecule: ribosomal RNA, 531 nt
Filed under: Hanseniaspora guilliermondii
Lineage: Eukaryota; Fungi; Ascomycota; Saccharomycetes; Saccharomycodales; Saccharomycodaceae
Description: LSU rRNA
Rfam family: Eukaryotic large subunit ribosomal RNA
Source: RNAcentral
CUGGGAUUACCUUAGUAACGGCGAGUGAAGCGGUAAAAGCUCAAAUUUGAAAUCUGGUACUUUCAGUGCCCGAGUUGUAAUUUGUAGAAUUUGUCUUUGAUUAGGUCCUUGUCUAUGUUCCUUGGAACAGGACGUCAUAGAGGGUGAGAAUCCCGUUUGGCGAGGAUACCUUUUCUCUGUAAGACUUUUUCGAAGAGUCGAGUUGUUUGGGAAUGCAGCUCAAAGUGGGUGGUAAAUUCCAUCUAAAGCUAAAUAUUGGCGAGAGACCGAUAGCGAACAAGUACAGUGAUGGAAAGAUGAAAAGAACUUUGAAAAGAGAGUGAAAAAGUACGUGAAAUUGUUGAAAGGGAAGGGCAUUUGAUCAGACAUGGUGUUUUUUGCAUGCACUCGCCUCUCGUGGGCUUGGGCCUCUCAAAAAUUUCACUGGGCCAACAUCAGUUCUGGCAGCAGGAUAAAUCAUUAAGAAUGUAGCUACCUCGGUAGUGUUAUAGCUUAUUGGAAUACUGCUAGCUGGGAUUGAGGACUGCGCUC